CGGACGGGUGAGUAACGCGUGGGUAACCUGCCUCAUGCAGGGGGAUAACGGUUAGAAAUGACUGCUAAUACCGCAUAAGCGCACAGUACCGCAUGGUACGGUGUGAAAAACUCCGGUGGUAUGAGAUGGACCCGCGUCUGAUUAGCUUGUUGGUGAGGUAACGGCCCACCAAGGCGACGAUCAGUAGCCGGCCUGAGAGGUGACCGGCCACAUUGGGACUGAGACACGGCCCAA
Molecule: ribosomal RNA, 234 nt
Filed under: uncultured bacterium
Lineage: Bacteria
Description: partial 16S ribosomal RNA
Rfam family: Bacterial small subunit ribosomal RNA
Source: RNAcentral